This 253-nucleotide ribosomal RNA is filed under the name uncultured bacterium. RNAcentral's name for it is "partial 16S ribosomal RNA". It matches the Rfam family "Bacterial small subunit ribosomal RNA", at positions 524 to 776 of the family's 1533-position model. The record is from RNAcentral.
UACGUAGGGGGCAAGCGUUGUCCGGAAUCAUUGGGCGUAGAGAGCGUGUAGGCGGUCCUGUAAGUCCGCUGUGAAAGUCAAGGGCUCAACCCUUGAAUGCCGGUGGAUACUGCAGGACUAGAGUCCGGAAGAGGCGAGUGGAAUUCCUGGUGUAGCGGUGAAAUGCGCAGAUAUCAGGAGGAACACCGAUGGCGAAGGCAGCUCGCUGGGACGGUACUGACGCUGAGACGCGAAAGCGUGGGGAGCAAACAGG